This 424-nucleotide ribosomal RNA is filed under the name uncultured prokaryote. RNAcentral describes it as "bacterial SSU rRNA". It matches the Rfam family "Bacterial small subunit ribosomal RNA", at positions 355 to 796 of the family's 1533-position model. The record is from RNAcentral.
UUGGGAAUCUUGGACAAUGGGGGCAACCCUGAUCCAGCCAUGCCGCGUGAGUGAUGAAGGCCAUAGGGUCGUAAAGCUCUUUCGCCUGUGAAGAUAAUGACGGUAGCAGGUAAAGAAACCCCGGCUAACUCCGUGCCAGCAGCCGCGGUAAUACGGAGGGGGUUAGCGUUGUUUGGAAUUACUGGGCGUAAAGCGCACGUAGGCGGAUCUUUAAGUCGGGGGUGAAAUCCCGGGGCUCAACCCCGGAACUGCCUUCGAUACUGGGGAUCUUGAGGUGGAGAGAGGUGAGUGGAAUUCCGAGUGUAGAGGUGAAAUUCGUAGAUAUUCGGAGGAACACCAGUGGCGAAGGCGGCUCACUGGCUCGAUACUGACGCUGAGGUGCGAAAGUGUGGGGAGCAAACAGGAUUAGAUACCCGUGUAGUCC